Long non-coding RNA from Portunus trituberculatus (swimming crab), 2858 nucleotides. RefSeq lists it as uncharacterized. The record is from RefSeq and is a predicted model, not a curated record. Lineage: Eukaryota; Metazoa; Arthropoda; Malacostraca; Decapoda; Portunidae. The transcript has 6 exons.
UCCGUGUAUCUGAUUAGACUUCGGUACGACAGAAGAACCAAGGACCGCAAAAAGCUGUUAUUGUGCUCAGUUACACUUUUGCUGACGGAGAGGUAGACAUGUUUUGGUGUAGAGACUAGCAAACUGCCAGUCAUGGACAUAAAGCCAACAUUGUAACCUCGUAUGCCUGGCAGUGGCGCACUUCAGGGGCCGGUGAAAUCGCUUGUCUACAAACGAGCAGUUUGCUCGUUUGCAGCCGGGCAAAGGUGGAGAAAAUGUUGCUGGGCAAACGCUUCGCUUCUGCCCGCUUGUGUAGACGGACCUUUACACUUGGUCCGAUGUGUAGAUGGAAGCAGCAGAAGGAAGAAAAAGGGGAAAACAAAAGAGGACGACGAAGAAAAAAGGAAAAAAAGAAAGAAACCAAAUUUAAAUAUUUAGCUAAGUAUCCCUUUGUAAUCUUGUCGUUCUUUGUAAUGCUUUCUGGUGUUUAGGUGGUGUGUUUAGGGUAUUUCAAUUAUUAGGGAGUGUUUGGGUAGUAUUGCAUUUUGUUUUGGAUGUGUUUGGAUUCUUGUAAAUAUUUUAGGUGUAUUUUGUGUGUUAUGGGUGCAUUUUCUAUGUUCAGUGUGUGGUAGAUGGAUUUAGGUGUAUUUUACGUAUUUUGAGUGUUGGGAUGGUAUUGGAGUAUUUAGGUGUGUUUUGAGAGUGUUUGGAGGCAUUUCGAGAUGUUUUACGACAUUUUGAGUGUUGAGUGUGUGUUCUGGGUGUGCUUUGUGGUGUGGGGGUAUAAUGGGUGUUUCUAGGGAGUUUUGGGUAUGUUUGGGGGUGUUUUGAGACGUUUCAUGGUGUUUUGAGUGUUUGGGGUUAGUUUUCCCAGAGUUUUUGAGUGUUUUUAGUACUUUGAGUUUCUGGAUGUGUGGGACCGAUGUUAAUUCUUGGUGUGUUUGGGUAUGUGUGGGUCGUGUGGAUGUUCUGUUACUUUUGGGGUGAAUUUGUUCAUGAUAUUAGCGACUUUAGCGACAAGUAGUGAAUGAGCUGAAAGUGUAGGAGGGAGGGACUUCGUCAGCCACCUCGCCUCGCCCACUGCCAUCAUGCUAUGCCAUACCACGCCACACACCACACCAGUGACUGACUCUACAUGUCCAGCCGCCGCCGGUAUCACAGCCUGAGAUGAGAUGGGCACACACCACGCUAUGUAAGAGAAUCAUGAAUAGGGAAGGAGGUAGAGAGUAAGUUAGGGAAGGAGACAUGUAGGGAGAAAAGGGGCAGAGAAGAAGAGGCGUCUACGGAGUUAAUCUAUAAUAAUGUAUGCUUGAUGUGGGGGAGGUAGGUGUUCUCUUUCACUGACCUCUCACUUUCUUACCAGGUGUGGAGCGAAGGUUAACUGGAAGCCAAAAUGAACCUUGCCAAGCUGCCAACCGAGAAGAUGCAACUAUGUCAGAAAUAUCACAAGGGCCUCCUCGUUGAUGUGCAAGCCGGUGUUGGUGGUAGGCCGGCCCGAAGAACUUCCCUACUCAGCUUACCUGGCAGCCAUGAUGGGGUGAUGGCCAGCGAGGGAAGGCCGUGUGUCAAGCUGCUCCGCCCUCAACCCUGGCAACAUUCCUACGUAGUAUAUAGUGUUGAAAGGGCCCCCGCGGCUGUGCGGCGCUGGUGAGGAGCACUAAUCCUCAUAGCAGAGUCGCCGCCCCAGUUCACUGCGGGGAUAACGUGGAGGCGCGGGCGCUGGAGAUGCAGGGACCCUAAGUGACCAGAUUCGUCCCCAUCAGCCUGAAGCAAUUGAAGGCGCUAGCCAGACACGCGUUGGUUGGUCGAGGGAAAGAAGCAGCAGGCUGCUUGUUACGCCGCCGCCACCGACUACCAACCACGGGCAGACGGCGUGCUGCUACAGCGAGGGAGGAGCUGUGUGAAGGCUCCCAGGAGCGUGACCACUGCAGGAGGCACAGCCGCCAUUCUUACAUUACUCCCUGUCCUCGGCGACCGCCUGCUCACCCGUCGCGAGGCCAGAGUUGUAUUCCUCGUCCGCCACACGCCCAUGUACGUGAUGCUGCGGGCGGUCACAAGCAGCAGCCGCCAGCCCUCAACACGCUCUGUGAUGUUGUGUGUGCAGACCCAGAGUAGCGCGAGUGAUGAAUGACAGACAACCCAGCUGUAUCUCUCGGUCCUAGGACCUACAGACUAUUUACCUCCACGUCGGCCGUUUACGCUCGCCAGGCUGCAAAACUGCAAGAAGAGAUAGACAGCUGUGAUGGGCCAUUUUGUAUUUCCCAACAUCAAGUAUAUAAAAUAAGUAGUCUGUUAUGUUUGACAAGCCCUAUAACAAACACACAGUACUACUAGUUAGUACACUACUACUACUUAGUACUGAGGAAGGAAUACUACAAAUUAAAGCCCUCGGCUAUCCCCCCAGUUGUUGUUAGGGAGACGGGAGUGGUUGGUUGUACUUGCCGUCAAGUAAGGCAGCACCAACCACCCAGCGAGGUUUCCUGGCUGGCUUCUCUCUCAGAAGACACGGCUCUAAGUUCCAUGUCUUAUUUGAUGAUGUCUUGAGUCCUUCACCAACCAGGGAUGUGUGAUCAACUUGGUUGGUGACGACUGGUAAUAAAUAAUAAUCACCCGUUGCGAGGCCAGAGUUGUAUUCCUCGUCCGCCACACGCCCAUGAACGUGAUGCUGCGGGUGUUACGGGCUGCCCCUACGUCUCGCUGCGGGCGGUCACAAGCAGCCGCCAGCCCUCAACACGCUCUGGUGAGUGCAGACCCAGAGUAGCGAGUGAUGAAUGACAACCAGCUGUAUCUCUCGGUCCUAGGACCUGCAGACUGUUUUCCUGCACGUCGGCCGUUUACGCUCGCCAGGCUGCAAAACUGCAAGAAGAGAUAAAGACAGC